Molecule: long non-coding RNA, 5523 nt
Organism: Oncorhynchus tshawytscha (Chinook salmon)
Lineage: Eukaryota; Metazoa; Chordata; Actinopteri; Salmoniformes; Salmonidae
Source: Ensembl
CCUAACCAUAACCCUACUUCAGUACCCAUAACCCUACUUCAGUACCCCUAACCGUAACCCUACUUCAGUACCCCUAACCCGAUAGCUUUACCAAGUCGUUGCAUAUCAACAGAGUUGCAGUUAAUAUUUUCUUGAAAGUUUGAGCAUAUAAUGACGUCCAUGAGACUAAAAACAUCAGUGGCGUUUUAGGUAACAGGCAAUAUUGAAGAGUUUCGGUAAAGGAUCAGGCUCUUCUUUUCAAACCUACGAAAUGGUCAUCAUAUAGCUCGCUACACUCAACUAUUCAACUACAACAUCACAACAAAACACUCAGCGAUACAAACACAUCACCCACUACCAGCGAAAUUACAUCUUCUUCCAUUUAAAAAUCCAUUAAAAGUACUGAGUUCUGAAGUAGGGGGCUUUGUAUGAAUGAGAUUAAAGGCAUGAUUCAUUUGAGAACGUAGCUCAAUGUUUUGGGAAGAUGGGCCCUGACUUGGAUGUGAUAUAGACCAUCUUACGGUUCUCAGAAGGAGGGCGAGAAGAAAGGAGAGUGAUUGAGAGAGGUUGGAAGGUACAAGAGAGCACUUGAGGAGAUGGCUUCCUGCUAAUUGUGGGUUUACCUGGCAUUUGUAGAAAUGCACUCUACACCCUCCAACUCUCCAUCUCUCCAUCCCUCUCUCUAGCCAGCCCCAAUCAUUAGGAACUUGCUCCUUCACUCUCCAAAUGGAGGGGUAAUUGUUCACUGUCGAAACCUAGCUUUUGUUUAUUGGUCCUCUGCCAGCAAAGCAGAGAGGGUGAAGCUUGGUUUGCCAUCUACGGGUGAUUCAGUCACAUUGCGUAAAUUGGUGCAUUCAAUAUGCAUAAGAAGGACUGGAGUCUUGAGUUACCUGGCUUUAAAAUGUGUCUCAUCUGGUGAAUUUCCCUCUUUAAGGUCCUUUAAUCAAAUUAGAUCACUCAGGAAGAGAUGGGUGGAUGGAUAGAGUUAUAGAGAGAGAGAGGAUUACUUUGAUGAAAAGAUGUGAGAGGGAUGAGGCCUCGUGUCAAUGUUGAGUGUGUGUUUCUGUGUGACAGAUCAGAGGCCUCACCUCCGUUUGACAUCAACAUAAAUAGCCUCAUUAAUAGACAUGAUAAACUAACAUAAAUAUAAUGUACAGUACGUGUUUCUUCUCUGUUAGAAGAGGACUUUACUGCUUUAGUAUUCUGAGGUCAAUGUAAAAUAAAUAUGUUUUAUUGUCACAUACACCAGAUAGGUGCAGUGAAAUCUGUUGUUUUACAGGGUCAGCCAUAGUAGCACGGUGCCCCUGGAGCAAAUUAGGGUUAAGUGCCUUGCUCAAUGGCACAUCAACAGAUUUUACACCUUGACGGCUCUGGCAUUCGAACCAGCAACCUUUCAGCAACAAAUAUGUGCGGGAGAGAAAGAUAAAAGGCCUCACCUCUAUUUAACAUCAACUCAAACAGAUACGGGUUCAUAGAAAGUGAAUAGAAAGCCUAAAGGGACAUUGUUGUUAUGUAAAUGUAGAUCUGUGUAUGUUCCAUUAGAUACUUAAACUAAAGGGCCGGUUUCCUGGAUCCAGAUUGAACCAACUCCUGGACUAAAAAGCACUUUGAUAGUAGAUUCUCAUGAGCGUGCUUCAGAAAGAUAGAAGAUGAACUAUCAGUGGUCAUGUACUUUAUAGGGGCAAAUUCAUCAUCACAUCCUUAAGUGUGAACCACAGUCUGGUUUCUCAUGUGUUCACUGGACUGUUACAUCACUGUUUCCAGGUCAGUCAUUAAAAACAAACCAAGUGCAAAUCAUUUACCUUUCUGUGGCAUAGCGAAGCACGUCUUGUUCUCCAAAUACCUCCAGAUCUAAUUAUUUGACAUAUAAAUUAGAAUGCAACUGUCUUCAUAAGUGCAAAUGGACUAAGCAUGUCAUUUAUUUCAUAAGACUAUUUAAGUAGAACUUGGUUCAUUAUCAUUCAGAUUUCUAUAGACACACACACACACACACACACACACACACACACAAAAGUGCGUAUCAUUAUACACCACGUAACAACUUCUGCAUCUCAAUAGCAGUGAGCGGUGCAAUUUAAAGUAUAGUGAUUUUACACACAUGACUUCCUAUCUUAACCAAGGUCUUUCUGAGCUCCUAUCUGAAGGUUAAGUCUGACUGACUCCUUCGGCAGCUUACUCACACUGUGUGUGUAUGUGUGCACAAAAGCUUGCGUGUGUGUGUGUAUGUGCGUGCUCUAACGUGUGUGUGUCUAUGUUAUGUGCUAUGUGCUACCCUCAUAGCUAGGCAGUAAAAGAUAUUAAGGAACAAUUGGUAAAAGUGACAGGUUUAAUAGAGAAAGAUUACUCCUCGCUACAUCAAUUUGAAUUGAAUUGAAUACAUUUUCCACCACAGGUCGAACGGUGUUCUUGGAUGGAAGAGCUGUCUGGAUGUUUUUGUCUUUGUGAGUAGAGAGAGGGAGAGAAAGAGAGAAGGGAGAGAGAGAGAGAAGGGAGAGGGAGAGAGAGAGGGAGAGAAAGAGAGAAGGGAGAGAGAGAGAGAGAGGGAAGAGAGAGAGGGAGUGGGAAAGAGGGACAGUGUGUCAUCGAGUCUCCAGCCUGUUUGUAUGAUUCCUUCUUCAUAUAGGUAAUACCACCAAGGGAGUUAAGGUGCCAGAGGGAGAGGAAAACACAGACAUACAUCAAUCUUUUGUUGUUUUUUUCUUUUCAUAAACAGUAGUGGUUCUAAAUGCAUUCUGGAAUGACAAAAUUAUUAUUCCACCUUCCGCUGGGUUAGAAGAGAAAGACAGAGAGAGAGGAAAUCUCUUCCCUAAUCUAGAGUUGGCUACACACACCAUUCAGUUUAAACUGUAGCUAUAUUACUUCCAAAAAGAGGGGUGGGGGAGAGAAAGAGAGGGGUGGGGGAGAGAAAGAGAGGGAGGGGGAGAGAAAGAGAGGGGAGGGGAGAGAAAGAGAGGGGAGGGGAGAGAAAGAGAGGGGUGGGGGAGAGAAAGAGAGGGGUGGGGGAGAGAAAGAGAGGGGUGGGGGAGAGAAAGAGAGGGGUGGGGGAGAGAAAGAGAGGGAGGGGGAGAGAAAGAGAGGGAGGGAGGGGGAGGGAAAGAGAGGGAGGGAGGGGGAGGGAAAGAGAGGGAGGGGGAGGGAAAGAGAGGGGAGGGGAGAGAAAGAGAGGGGAGGGGAGUGCAUGCUUUUUCUUUCUCCCUCCUCUCCAUUCCCUGAACCAUGAAUCCAAAGUGUGUGUAACAUUAUCAUAAAUAACAACCAAAUAUGAGUUCAAAGUUAAAGGGUUACUAAGGAAGGUAAACUAAAAACGUUGAUUCUUUCUAACAUGGUCAGAUAGUGUUGACUGAGGGUUUCUAGCUUAUUCAUAAUUACCAUUAUGAGGACAGGCUUCACUGUCAAUGUGGAAUACUAGAGUACUACUGCCAUCAGGUGGCAGAGUUCUGUAUGGCAAACUUCCCCUUCUGGGCAGAGGAACUGUCUUGAUCUGGAAGGAUUGGUUGGUUAUACACUGAGUAUACCAAACAUUAAGAAACACCUUCCUAGUAUUGAAUUGCACCCCCCUUUACCCUCAGAAAUGCCUAGAUUCGUGGAUGUCCUUUGGGUGGUGGACCAUUCUUGAUACACAGGAUACUGUUGAGUGUGAAAAACCCAGCAGCAUUGCAGUUCUUGACACAAACUGGUGUGCCUAGCAUACCCUGUUCAAACACAAUUAAAUAUUUUGUCUUGCCUAUUCAUCCUCUGAAUGGCACACAUACACAAUCCAUGUUUCAGUUGUCUCAAGGCUUAAAAAUCAUUCUUUAACCUGUCUCCUCCCCUUCAUCUACACUGAUUAACGUGGAUUUAACAAGUGAUAUCAAUCAGGUAUCAUAGCUUUCAUCUGGAUCACCUGGUCGGUCUAUGUCAUGGAAAGAGCAGCAUAUAUAAAGUAUAGAAAAGAAUUGAAUAUGUACAAUAUAAAAUAUCCACAGGGGAUAUUGGGGAGGGCUCGAUUGAAGAUUGGCCACUUUUUAAUUGAAUGUAAUUUUCUGCCAUUGUCAUCGUCCUCACCAAAUCCACACCAAGAUAGGCAUGGAAAAAAAUGUAAGAUGAUUAUUUUACUCCAUCUUUCCUUCUCUCCUUACAUCCUUUCACCCCCCUUUCCUCCCUCCUUCCUGUGCAGGUAGAUGUGACUGCUGGGUCGUAAUACAGAGCUGUCAGUGUGAGACGAGCGGUGUGUGUGUGUGCGUGCGUGCGUGGGUGUGGGUGUCUGAGAUGAGAUAUGUGACCAGCAUGCUAACACGCAGGUUUGUCUACUAGGGCCAGGAGCCAGGAUCACAUACACACACACACAGUGUCGUCAUGCCCAUAGAGGCACAAUGGCACGUGCCCUGUCAGAUUUGUCCUGUUUUUUUGUGUGUUUUUUUUUUCAGAUGUUAAAUUAAUAACUCACGUUUUAUCAUAAUUAAGAGGGGGCACCCUGACUGGAGAGAGAGAGAGUAGAGUGACACACACAGCAUUUGAUUUGAUUUUAGCUUCUGGUAAUGGGCUCAUGAAUGUGAUCAAGCUCUGUAGCCAUUUGAUUACUUCUUGAUGAAUAAAUAAAACUAAAAUGUUUUGUUGUUUCUCUGUAAUACUAGCCACUAAGCAAUUUUAUAAAGUUGUCUUUAGCUAACCAGCUAGAAAGGUUCCCAAUCUUCUAACCUCAUAAGCAGCUAACAAGUCAUUUUAGGCUAUCAAUCAAGUUAGAGUAGCUUGUCCAACUAUCUUAGCUAUUAUAAACUGGGUGGUUCGAGCCCUGAAUGCUGAUUGGCUGAAAGCCACCAUGGGUAUGACCCAAAAAUAUUUUUACUGCUCUGAUUACAUUAGUAACCCGUUUAUAAUAGCAAUAAGGCACCUCAGGGUUUUGUGGUAUAUGGCCAAUAUACCACGGCUAAGGACUGUAUCCAGGCACUCUGCGUUGCGUCUUGCGUAAGAACAGCCAUUAGCCAUGGUAUAUUGGCCAUAUACCACACUCCCUCAGGCCUUAUUGCUUAAAUAUAACCUAUGCAGAAAAAUAAACAUAGAUUUAAAAAAAAUAGAAUUAGGCAUAAUGAUUAUGGCUCUAGAAGUUGUUUAGGGUGUUUCAGGCAAAAUUAUCCAACUUCCAGAUUCCAGAAAGCCAUCCCUCCGGACCAACCCCAUCUCCGGAACAGCCAUCCCUCCGGACCAACCCGAUCUCCGGAACAGCCAUCCCUCCGGACCAACCCCAUCUCCGGAACAGCCAUCCCUCCGGACCAACCCCCUCUCCGGAACAGCCAUCCCUCCGGACCAACCCCUCUCCGGAACAGCCAUCCCUCCUGACCAACCCGAUCUCCGGACCAACCCCUCUCCGGAACAGCCAUCCCUCCGGACCAACCCCAUCUCCAGAACAGCCAUCCCUACGGACCAACCCGAUCUCCGGAACAGCCAUCCCUCCGGACCAACCCCCUCUCCGGAACAGCCAUCCCUCCGGACCAACCCCCUCUCCGGAACAGCCAUCCCUCCGGACCAACCCCAUCUCCGGAACAGCCAUCCCUCCGGACCAACCCC